CGCCCGCCGCGCGCGGCGGGCGGGGCGCGGGCACGGGGGGCCUACGGGAGGCAGCAGUAGGGAAUCUUCCGCAAUGGACGAAAGUCUGACGGAGCAACGCCGCGUGAGUGAUGAAGGUUUUCGGAUCGUAAAGCUCUGUUGUUAGGGAAGAACAAGUGCGAGAGUAACUGCUCGCACCUUGACGGUACCUAACCAGAAAACCCCGGCUAACUUCGUGCCAGCAGCCGCGGUAAUACGUAGGUGGCAAGCGUUGUCCGGAAUUAUUGGGCGUAAAGGGCUCGCAGGCGGUUUCUUAAGUUUGAUGUGAAAGCCCCCGGCUCAACCGGGGAGGGUCAUUGGAAACUGGGAAACUUGAGUGCAGAAGAGGAGAGUGGAAUUCCACGUGUAGCGGUGAAAUGCGUAGAGAUGUGGAGGAACACCAGUGGCGAAGGCGACUCUCUGGUCUGUAACUGACGCUGAGGAGCGAAAGCGUGGGGAGCGAACAGGAUUAGAUACCCUGGUAGUCCACGCCGUAAACGAUGAGUGCUAAGUGUUAGGGGGUUUCCGCCCCUUAGUGCUGCAGCUAACGCAUUAAGCACUCCGCCUGGAGUACCGUUAAG
Molecule: ribosomal RNA, 599 nt
Filed under: uncultured bacterium
Lineage: Bacteria
Description: bacterial SSU rRNA
Rfam family: Bacterial small subunit ribosomal RNA
Source: RNAcentral